RNAcentral lists this ribosomal RNA (253 nucleotides) under uncultured bacterium. Its description in RNAcentral is "partial 16S ribosomal RNA". It matches the Rfam family "Bacterial small subunit ribosomal RNA", at positions 524 to 776 of the family's 1533-position model. The record is from RNAcentral.
UACAGAGACUGCAAGCGUUAUUCGGAUUCACUGGGCGUAAAGGGUGCGCAGGCGGCCGUGUGUGUCAGGUGUGAAAGCCCGGGGCUUAACCCCGGAAUUGCGCCUGAAACUACAUGGCUAGAGCAUUGGAGAGGGUAGCGGAAUUCACGGUGUAGCAGUGAAAUGCGUAGAUAUCGUGAGGAACACCAGAGGCGAAGGCGGCUACCUGGACAAUUGCUGACGCUCAGGCACGAAAGCGUGGGGAGCAAAAGAG